AGGACCUUACUUGAAUAUGAUCUGUUCUAUAGGCUUCUGUAUUCUUUACUACAAAGUCUUGCAGUCGAAAUUGAUGAUUGGACCAGCAUCAUAGAAGACC
RNAcentral lists this small nucleolar RNA (100 nucleotides) under Corchorus capsularis. RNAcentral describes it as "snoRNA Plant_U3". Lineage: Eukaryota; Viridiplantae; Streptophyta; Magnoliopsida; Malvales; Malvaceae. The record is from RNAcentral.